This 465-nucleotide ribosomal RNA is filed under the name uncultured bacterium. RNAcentral describes it as "partial 16S ribosomal RNA". It matches the Rfam family "Bacterial small subunit ribosomal RNA", at positions 28 to 507 of the family's 1533-position model. The record is from RNAcentral.
GACGAACGCUGGCGGCGUGCUUAACACAUGCAAGUCGAACGGAAAGGCCCUGCUUGCCGGGUACUCGAGUGGCGAACGGGUGAGUAACACGUGGGUGAUCUGCCCUGCACUUCGGGAUAAGCCUGGGAAACUGGGUCUAAUACCGGCUAGGAGCCAUUUCUAGUGUGAUGGUUGGAAAGUUUUUUCGGUGUAGGAUGAGCUCGCGGCCUAUCAGCUUGUUGGUGGGGUAAUGGCCUACCAAGGCGGCGACGGGUAGCCGGCCUGAGAGGGUGGACGGCCACACUGGGACUGAGAGACGGCCCAGACUCCUACGGGAGGCAGCAGUGGGGAAGAUUGCACAAUGGGCGCAAGCCUGAUGCAGCGACGCCGCGUGGGGGAUGACGGCCUUCGGGUUGUAAACUCCUUUCGCUAGGGACGAAGCUUUUUGUGACGGUACCUAGAUAAGAAGCACCGGCUAACUACGUG